Molecule: ribosomal RNA, 440 nt
Filed under: uncultured bacterium
Lineage: Bacteria
Description: partial 16S ribosomal RNA
Rfam family: Bacterial small subunit ribosomal RNA
Source: RNAcentral
CCUACGGGAGGCAGCAGUAGGGAAUUUUGCGCAAUGGGCGAAAGCCUGACGCAGCAACGCCGCGUGAUCGAGACGCCCUUCGGGGUGUAAAGAUCUGUCAGUGGGGACGAAACUUGACGGUACCCACAGAGGAAGCACCGGCUAACUCCGUGCCAGCAGCCGCGGUAAUACGUAGGGGGCGAGCGUUGUCCGGAAUUACUGGGCGUAAAGAGAGCGUAGGCGGCACUACAAGUCUCAUGUGAAAUACCCGGGCUUAACUUGGGGGUUGCAUGGGAAACUGUAGAGCUUGAGUACAGGAGAGGCAAGCGGAAUUCCUAGUGUAGCGGUGAAAUGCAUAGAUAUUAGGAGGAACACCAGUGGCGAAGGCGGCUUGCUGGACUGAAACUGACGCUGAGGCUCGAAAGCGUGGGGAGCAAACAGGAUUAGAUACCCCUGUAGUC